GUUGUAGUCUGGAGAAGUGCUUUCCGCGCUGGACCGUGUAUAAGUCUCUUGGAACAGAGCGUCAUAGAGGGUGAGAAUCCCGUCUUUGACACGGACUACCAGUGCUUUGUGAUGCGCUCUCAAAGAGUCGAGUUGUUUGGGAAUGCAGCUCAAAAUGGGUGGUGAAUUCCAUCUAAAGCUAAAUAUUGGCGAGAGACCGAUAGCGAACAAGUACCGUGAGGGAAAGAUGAAAAGCACUUUGGAAAGAGAGUUAAACAGUACGUGAAAUUGCUGAAAGGGAAACGCUUGAAGUCAGUCGCGUUUGCCGGAACUCAGCCUUCCUUUUGGUUGGUGCACUUUCCGGUAGACGGGCCAGCAUCGAUUUCGACCGUCGGAUAAGGGCUGGGGAAAUGUGGCACCUUUCGGGGUGUGUUAUAGUCCUCAGUCGCAUACGUCGGUUGGGAUCGAGGAUCGCAGCGCGCCGCAAGGCAGGGGUUCGCCCACUUUCGCGCUUAGGAUGCUGGCAUAAUGGCUUUAAACGACCCGUCUUGAAACACGGACCAAGGAGUCUAACAAACCUGCGAGUGUUUGGGUGGAAAACCCGAGCGCGUAAUGAAAGUGAAAGUUGAGACCUCUGUCGUGGAGGGCAUCGACGCCCGGACCUGAAGUUCUCUGACGGUUCCGCGGUAGAGCAUGUUUGUUGGGACCCGAAAGAUGGUGAACUAUGCCUGAAUAGGGUGAAGCCAGAGGAAACUCUGGUG
This 740-nucleotide ribosomal RNA is filed under the name Lentinus brumalis. Its description in RNAcentral is "partial large subunit ribosomal RNA". It matches the Rfam family "Eukaryotic large subunit ribosomal RNA", at positions 142 to 869 of the family's 3401-position model. Lineage: Eukaryota; Fungi; Basidiomycota; Agaricomycetes; Polyporales; Polyporaceae. The record is from RNAcentral.